GAGUUUGAUCCUGGCUCAGGAUGAACGCUGGCGGCGUGCCUAACACAUGCAAGUCGAACGGGGUCAUUAAGGAAAAAUCCUUCGGGAUUCGGAAUUCUUGACCUAGUGGCGGACGGGUGAGUAACGCGUGAGCAAUCUGCCUUUGGAUGGGGGAUAACAGCCGGAAACGACUGCUAAUACCGCAUAAUGCAGCGGGACCGCAUGAUUUUGCUGCCAAAGAUUUAUCGUCCAAAGAUGAGCUCGCGUCUGAUUAGCCAGUUGGCGGGGUAACGGCCCACCAAAGCGACGAUCAGUAGCCGGACUGAGAGGUUGAACGGCCACAUUGGGACUGAGACACGGCCCAGACUCCUACGGGAGGCAGCAGUGGGGAAUAUUGCGCAAUGGGGGAAACCCUGACGCAGCAACGCCGCGUGAGUGAAGAAGGCCUUCGGGUUGUAAAGCUCUUUAAUCAGGGACGAAGAAUGACGGUACCUGAAGAAUAAGCUCCGGCUAACUACGUGCCAGCAGCCGCGGUAAUACGUAGGGAGCAAGCGUUAUCCGGAUUUACUGGGUGUAAAGGGCGUGUAGGCGGGCCUGCAAGUCAGAAGUGAAAUCUGGGGGCUUAACCCCCAAACUGCUUUUGAAACUGUGGGUCUUGAGUGAUGGAGAGGCAGGCGGAAUUCCC
This 664-nucleotide ribosomal RNA is filed under the name uncultured bacterium. RNAcentral's name for it is "bacterial SSU rRNA". It matches the Rfam family "Bacterial small subunit ribosomal RNA", at positions 9 to 671 of the family's 1533-position model. The record is from RNAcentral.